GGAGAGGUGUCCGAGCUGGCCGAAGGAGCACGACUGGAAAUCGUGUAAACCUCUAAAGGGUUUCGUGGGUUCGAAUCCCACCCUCUCCG
Molecule: transfer RNA, 89 nt
Filed under: Candidatus Hinthialibacter antarcticus
Lineage: Bacteria; Candidatus Hinthialibacterota; Candidatus Hinthialibacteria; Candidatus Hinthialibacterales; Candidatus Hinthialibacteraceae
Description: tRNA-Ser
Rfam family: tRNA
About the family: Transfer RNA (tRNA) molecules are approximately 80 nucleotides in length. Their secondary structure includes four short double-helical elements and three loops (D, anti-codon, and T loops).
Source: RNAcentral